AUUGAACGCUGGCGGCAUGCCUAACACAUGCAAGUCGAACGGCAGCAUGCUUAGUAGCAAUACUAAGUGAUGGCGAGUGGCGGACGGGUGAGUAAUACGUAGGGAUCUGCCUUGAAGAGGGGGACGAACCCGGGAACGUACGGCGUAAUACCGCAUGAUACUCUAAGGAAGGAAAGGGUUAGGCGCAAGCCAGUCGCUUUGAGAGGAACCUACGUCUGAUUAGCUAGUUGGUAAGGUAAAGG
Molecule: ribosomal RNA, 242 nt
Filed under: uncultured bacterium
Lineage: Bacteria
Description: partial 16S ribosomal RNA
Rfam family: Bacterial small subunit ribosomal RNA
Source: RNAcentral